Molecule: ribosomal RNA, 272 nt
Filed under: uncultured bacterium
Lineage: Bacteria
Description: partial 16S ribosomal RNA
Rfam family: Bacterial small subunit ribosomal RNA
Source: RNAcentral
UACAGAGACCUCAAGCGUUAUCCGGAUUUAUUGGGCGUAAAGCGUCCGUAGGUGGUCUCACAAGUCUGGUGUUAAAGCUCAGAGCUUAACUCUGAAUCAGCACUGGAUACUGUAAGACUAGAGAGUGGGAGAGGCAAACGGAAUUGCAAGUGUAGUCGUAAUAAGCGUUGAUAUUUGCAAGAACACCAAAUGCGAAGGCAGUUUGCUAUAACACUUCUGACACUGAGGGACUAAAGCGUGGGGAGCAAACAGGAUUAGAAACCCCGGUAGUA